GCAGUAUUGCUCAGUGUAUAGAGCAUCAGCCUGUGGACUGAAGGGUCCCAGGUUCGAUUCCUGGGUUGCA
Non-coding RNA from Myotis lucifugus (little brown bat), 70 nucleotides. Lineage: Eukaryota; Metazoa; Chordata; Mammalia; Chiroptera; Vespertilionidae. The record is from Rfam.